CUCCCCCGAAGCCUCCUCGCCCCUCCCUUGGCCCGGCGCGCCCUCCCUCUCCCCAGGCGGGCGUUGCCGCCGCCGCCGCCGCCGCCGCCCGCGCCGCGUUGGCCGGGCCGAGGCCGCCCUAGGUCCGGUCCCUCCCCCGGCGGCCUGGCGCCUCCCGCCCCCUCCCCGCCGCGGUGACUCCGGAGCGGGGGCGGAGGCUGCGCUGAGGCGGAGGCGGCCCGGCUGCUGCUGCUCCUGCUGCUCCCGCCGCCGCCGCCGCCGCCGCCCAGGCGGCCAGCCGCAGCGCCCGGAGCAGGCUGGGCCCGCCGCCCCGCGCUCCGGCCCCGGGGGCUGCCCAGGAAUCUGUGGAGUUGGACUGAGGGGAAUGAACCGUGAGGGAGCUCCCGGGAAGAGUCCGGAGGAGAUGUACAUUCAGCAGAAAGUUCGGGUCUUGCUCAUGCUGAGGAAGAUGGGAUCAAAUCUGACAGCCAGUGAGGAAGAAUUCCUGCGGACGUAUGCAGGGGUAGUGAGCAGCCAGCUGAGCCAGCUCCCAUCACACUCCAUCGACCAGGGUGCAGAGGACGUGGUCAUGGCGUUUUCCAGGUCGGAGACAGAAGACAGGCGGCAAUAGCUACAGCGCAACCUGGAACCCACUGGAAGUCAACGAGGGCCAUGCAAGCUCUGGGAAGCUGGCUGCCUGCACCGGUCCCCUGCCCUUCCCUCCUCCCCACUCUUCAUGCCCCUAACUCCCUCUCCCCUGCCCUGGGAAGCACCUCCCAGCCCACUACCCAGCUGGCUGUGUUAGCGAGGGGGAGACCAGUGGUGCACAUGGGAUUGGCUCAAAGGGAUGGACUUUGUAAUUGGCUACAGGGAGAAAUCUUUUUAUUUUUUAAAACCUGACCAAUGGAAACCUUUUCUUUUUAUUUCUGCCUCUUUCACCACCUCAUCCCUUUUCUUGCUGUCUGGGCAUAGAACUUCCCAGGAAGCUCUCCUAUGCCUUGGUGCUUUAUUUAGGUCAUUUUUAGCAAUGUGAAAAGGUUUUGAUUGGCUGCCUAAAACUGGAAACAACUCUUGAUUGGCUGGUGAAAAGAAAACGCUUCUCUCUUUGAUUGGUUUCAGGUAUUCUGCUGAUCUCAACAGCUUGAUUCUAAGUAAAGAGAAUAGGGGUUGGGGCAUUGGCUGUUACAUUUGACUUGAAAAAAAAAAUACAAAACUAAGUGUGCUUUGCGAUAUUUAUUACACAAAGAGCUGCUGCUGCUUUUAAAUUUUAUUUUUGAAUUCGAUUGGCUUAUGGUCGAUGUGUUUGUUUUCCUGCUGGCUCUAGUGGCCAUAGAUUUACCCCCAAAAAACUACAUCCACAAAACCCUACCACCUCUGCUGCUUGAAAUCUCUGGUCCCAGGGGAAGCCAACUCAAGAAUCUAUUUACAUUAAUAAUUACACCUGCCCUCCCUGGAGCUGGAAAUAUAAAAGGCUCCUGGGCGAGGCCACAGCUGCAAACCAGGACCCAGGACAGACUGGAUAUCAGCUCUGUAAGAGUCAGAGUUAAGCGGUCACCAAGAGCUGAGGUGUGUGAGUGUGUGCCCGUGUGCCCGUGUCAUGUACAUGCACACACUCACACGUGCCACCCGCCACUCUUUGUAGGGUUAUGAUGUUGCUGGAAAAAAUACAGGGCCCCCCUGCCCCUAAAACCUUGUUUGUUCUGCAGCCUGAAAGCUUCUGGCUUGGAGGGAGCUUCUCUGUCCUUGUUUAGAGACUGCUGCUGCUUCUAAGUAGGGAAAAAGAAGCCCCAGGAGGCCCCUAGGCCCUUCCCUCAGGCACUUGGGAGGAGAUGGGGCUCAACUCACAGGUCCUGAGGAUGCCUUUGUGCACCCCCUUUUCUUUCCCCUCCCGUGGGUUUCUACUGCCCCAACCUACACUGACCAUCUUGCAGUCCCGAGUGUCCUCCUCCCACUCACCCCCCACAGUUCUCCCAGCCCCUUUUAAAAGCCUACAUGUUGAAAAGAAAGUCAUCAACCAUAAUUGCCAAACGUUCUGCCAGCUGGGGAGGGCCAGUCUGGCAGGCCCCUACCAAGGCCUUCUCCUAGCUUGGCAGGUAGGGCCGGCCUCAGCUCCCAUUUGUUAAUUCUCCACCUGGGCCCCUGAGCCAGGGGCUGGGGUGGAGGAAGCAGGGAAUCCUUAGUGCCAAAUCCCUGCAGGCAGUGUCAAAACAGAAGCUCCCACCCACCCUUCCCUCCCUCGAGGGGCCCCUGCACCCCCAUCUCUCCUGCCUGCCUUCCCGUGGCAUGCACAGGACUGUACUUUGAAGCAGGUAAACAGGAAACGUUGCCACGUUCAUAUGAAGCUUUUCUUGGGAAAGAGGAAAUCUUAUCUCUGUUCCCAAACAAACCCCAAGUUUUUAAUAAGGGGUCUAGCUCUAACCCUGUGCCCAGGGAGUGGAUGAGACUUUCUGAGCCAAACAGGACUUACUGCCCAAGGGCUUGGGGCCAACCGACAGCCACCAAGGCAUGAGGGGGCAGUUGCAGAGUGCCAACGGUUUAAUGACCUCCAGCAUGUGCAGAAAGGGCCCUCGGAGCAUUCUGCUGCCUGUGACCAAUUAGGAGUGCUAAUGAGGUCGCCUGAUCUGCCGUCCCAAUUCCUUUAAGGUUAGUUAGUCUGUACAAUAUAAACCUUCACAGCCACACCAAACAGCCCCCAGACCCAGCCAGGCUGCCUGGCCAUGUUGCCAAUGGCUGGUGGACAAAGGACCCAGCAGGGAGGAGAUGGUGGGGGUGUCCCAUAAGGCUGGGCACCCCUCCCUUUGGUGGAUACCUUGGUAGUGGGUCCGUAGCAAUGUCUUCCCUACAAAGGACCAGCCCCCAACUCCAGUGUCAUCAGCCGGAGUCCCAAUCGUUGGGCAAAAGGUGAACAACAGCCCCUGACACCCCGGGGUCCCCGUCCUGGCUUCUGUCACGGUGUUGCCCGCUGUGCUCCUGGCCAGCCUGCAGCGCCCAUCGAGGGUCCGAGCCCAGGUGGCGUAGCCAUGUGUUUGUCUGCGGCCCCAGGCCUGUCAAGCUAACAUGCAUCUCUCUUGUGUCCCCGAUGAUAACUCUGACCUGUCUAUCUUCUGAAGAAGAAAAGUGAAAGUGUUUCUGUGGUUUAAUCUUUUAACUAAAAAUGUAACUCUUGGGGAAAAAAUAACAAUAAAGGUUUUUAAUAGCUUGUCAUGGA
Molecule: long non-coding RNA, 3187 nt
Filed under: Sarcophilus harrisii (Tasmanian devil)
Lineage: Eukaryota; Metazoa; Chordata; Mammalia; Dasyuromorphia; Dasyuridae
Description: lncRNA (ENSSHAG00000032095.1)
Source: RNAcentral